GGGGCUAAAAUUUUAUUCUUGCUUAGUGGGUUUAAUGUUAUUUUUCGUUCUUUAUUGAUGUGUUGAAUUGUUAUUAUUGAACUGGUGUACACGCAUUCCGGUAGAGAUGUACCAGAAAGCAAGAAUACAACAAGAAUACAGUCUAUCUGGAUCUUAUCUGACAGCGUGAAAGCAAGAUAAAAGAGCGGCGAUUCCUUACUAGAAAUGAACCAGUCUCAGGGUGAAGUUCGAACCACAAAGAGGUCUUUAGUUGCCUGCGAAAAUGAGUUUUUCCCGUGCUUUCAUCGUUUGUGCUCUGUUUAUUUACAUCACGUAUGGAGGGGCGUCAGUG
This is a long non-coding RNA of Orbicella faveolata, 331 nucleotides long. NCBI's taxonomy places the organism in Eukaryota, Metazoa, Cnidaria, Anthozoa, Scleractinia, Merulinidae. The record is from RefSeq and is a predicted model, not a curated record.